GACACCAAGGUUGUUGUACUCCUUGCACCCUCAUAUGUUGGGUGCUUGGUUAUGAUCUGCCUAGGAGUCUCGGUAAGGUGCUUGGCAAUGUGUUGCUUCUACUAGAGAAUUAAGGUGCUCGGUGAUGUUAUCUUGCUCGGUAAGGUGCUUUGUGAUUUGUUGUUCUCGUACUUGACUGGGAAUCAGCCGGUGUUCGUGUUGGGGUGUUCAGUUUGCGAGUGCUUCUUUCUCGUGGGCUGGCUUUACCUUGACAUGCAUGCUUUGAUCUUCCAGACAUGGUGCAUGAGUGGUGCUUGGUGUGUUAGGGCAAGUUGGUUCCCUGCUCGUGCAGCGACAAUUUGGCCUUCUCACCUCUUCAUUUGUUUGGCCAAGUGCUCUUGGUCUCGGUUGGGUUUUCUGUGUUGCAUACCUUGGUGAUGGCAUUUGUCUCGUACACAAUGAAUUAUGAUCAGCUUAGUGUUGCUCCCAUAAUGGGUUGCGGCACGAGGUGGAUCCGGAAAGCAACCGGUGUGCCUCCACUUUCUAGUGCAUAUGCACUUUUGAUUGUUGGAACAUGCCGAAUUGCUCGAGCUCUUGGGUGCAGAAUACAACAUGGAUAUGUGGUCUCAUGGCUGCUAUUUGUCCCUUCGGCAUUUUUAUGCUCUAUUCGCAUGACGUCCGGGUUGGUAAUGGCUGGAGCUGUGGCACCAUCCUUGCUUACUCGGAUUGUCUAUGAGGAAUGCUACCUGGUUGAUCCUGCCAGUAGUCAUAUGCUUGUCUCA
RNAcentral lists this unclassified non-coding RNA (761 nucleotides) under Plantago rupicola. Its description in RNAcentral is "partial contains external transcribed spacer and 18S ribosomal RNA". The record is from RNAcentral. Lineage: Eukaryota; Viridiplantae; Streptophyta; Magnoliopsida; Lamiales; Plantaginaceae.